GGUCGGGAGAUAAUCUCGACUGCCUGAUAACAACAACCGGCUCGUCCUCCUCCAGCGGACCGGGACCGUCGACGGGAGGAUAAAUUUAGCCCGCAGGGAUCAACUGUUUCCCGGUCAGCUGCCCAAGUUCAUCCGUGUGUAAUCUGCAGAGUAACCAGUAACUGGAGGAUUGUAAAGAAAAUGAAAUACUGGAUGACCCGAUGACGUCUGACCAGCUGAGCCAGUAGAACCAGUAGAACCAGGGAGGCUUCGCCCCAGUUCAUCUCAUCUUUCUGCCCCAUAUUGUGAUCCAGAUCAUCGGGUCACUGAUCAGCUGACCGUCAUCAGUCUCUCCUCUGGAUCCGGGUUCAGAGUCGACCUCCUGGUUCUCCUCCUGUUCGCAGCAUCAUGAGUGACGGCAGGGGCUGGCUGCUCCGCGGGGGGUCAGCUGGUCCUGGAGGGAAGAAAGCCCGGCUCUCAGCCCGGAGGUCAACAAGACCUGCACCCUUGACCCGCCCCCCCGAACCACAGACACCUCAGUGAUCACCUGGACCGGACCUUCCAGUGUAACAGAUUAGAGACCCACUGCAGGAGGAGGACCAGCUCCAGCCAGGUGACGCUGCACAGCAGAUGAGGCCCGACUCAGUCCAGACUGAGGCUCUACACAGGCUGGGCGGCUGUGGAGAGAGUGGUCUACCACAUUGAGUCUGAUGUAGAAAACAAGACUUCCAGGUCGCGGCGUCCCGUUCGGUGACAUGGCAGGAUCGUUUGUCCCUCGUGGGAGUUUCCCCCCCGGACACUUCCCUCAGCUCCUCAGGCUGGCUGCUGUCCCCUCCAGGUCCUCCACCCUGCAGGGGGGCGGAGGUGGAAGCAGUGUCAGAGGUGGAAGUGGAUGAAGUUUCCAGAUGCUCCACCAGUGUUUGGACUGCUGACAGUGCAGCUCCGGUCUCUAUCUUUUCAGAACAUUUAAAGGGUCCAAAGGAUCAGAUUUCCAUGCAUCACGUUUUUUUUUUUUUUUUUGUGGGUGCAUUCAAAGAUACAUGUAUCAAAAUAGUUCUUGGAUUGUUAAUUCAAAUAAUGGCUUAAAUUCGUG
Acanthopagrus latus (yellowfin seabream) is the source of this 1072-nucleotide long non-coding RNA. RefSeq lists it as uncharacterized. The transcript is spliced from 4 exons. Lineage: Eukaryota; Metazoa; Chordata; Actinopteri; Spariformes; Sparidae. The record is from RefSeq and is a predicted model, not a curated record.